RNA transcript from Scatophagus argus, 2155 nucleotides. It is a transcript of the gene named NADH:ubiquinone oxidoreductase complex assembly factor 7, with no coding region annotated. The record is from RefSeq and is a predicted model, not a curated record. Lineage: Eukaryota; Metazoa; Chordata; Actinopteri; Scatophagidae. The transcript has 12 exons.
CUGUCUUUUAUUGCGGCACACUUAACGGUUAACGCUCUAUUAGCAUUAGCACCCCGCUCGUGCGCAAGGACUUUGUAGAGUUUCCUGUUUUAAACGAUCGACAGGCACAAGUCAACACAUGUAUAGUUUAUUAGUUGGCACCCGAAACGAAAACCUCACUUCCGGAUGUGUUCCCGUUCGUCUGUAACUUCGUCUUUAGCGUGACUAAUGCUAACUGGCUAGCCGCUAAGCUGUCUCAGAGCGGAGUUUAGCACAUGUGGUUCAACUUAAAGUUAGAUUUCAGUUACACGUGCUUUGUCAAAUCAUGCUGCCAAGCCGAAUAUUAACAAGGUCGUAGUUAUGUUCAGCUCAACAGCUGGCAGUAUGAGGGCCUGUUUUGGUGCUAAAACCCAGCAGCUGAUCAGCAGAGUCCUCCUUCAUCCUGCCGGUCCACCAGCAGCAGUGCGAUGGCGAGCUGCUCAGAUCAGACUCCUCAGCAGCAGUUCACCAGACGAGGGGAAGCACCGACCCUCCAUCCUGCGACACUUGACCUCCAAAAUAAAAGCCACAGGUCCGAUUACGGUAGCAGAGUACAUGAGGGAGGUACUCACCAACCCCGUGACGGGUUAUUAUGUGAAGAGCAACAUGCUGGGACCCGAUGGAGAUUUCAUCACGUCGCCGGAAAUCAGUCAGAUUUUCGGGGAGCUGAUCGGCGUUUGGAUCAUCAGCGAGUGGAUGGCAGCAGGUCGACCCGGACUGCUGCAGCUGGUCGAGCUCGGACCUGGAAAAGGAUCGCUGGCCAGUGACGUCCUCAGAGUGUUCAGCCAGUUGCGCUCCGUGCUCGGCGAGGCUUCGGUGUCUCUCCACCUGGUCGAGGUGAGUCCGGCGCUGAGCCGUCUCCAGGCCCACAUUCUGACCGGGGACCACAGCCAGGAGGCGGACGCAGAGGACGACCCGGUUUACCGCCGCGGGGAAGCCGCUGCGGGGCUGCCGGUGUCGUGGUACCGCCGCUUGGACGACGUCCCCACAGGAUUCACCAUCUUCGUAGCUCACGAGUUCUUCGACGCUCUGCCCGUCCACAAGUUUCAGUGGACGCAGAAAGGCUGGAGGGAGGUGAUGGUGGACAUCGACCCUGAGAAGCCGGACCAGCUGAGGUUUGUCAUGGCGCCGUCUCCCACUCUGGCCUCGUCGUCGCUCAUACAGGUAGGUGAAAGGCGGAGUCAUGUGGAGGUGUGUGCAGAGGGUGGAGUCAUCGUCCAGCACUUGGCCCGGCGGAUCACACAGGAUGGUGGUGCGGCGCUGAUUGCUGACUACGGACACGAUGGGACCAAGACGGACACGUUCAGAGGUUUUAAAGGUCACCAGCUCCACGACGUCCUGCGCUCCCCCGGCUCAGCUGACCUCACCGCCGACGUGGACUUCAGCUACCUGCGGACUAUGGCUGGCAGAGACGUGGCCUGUCUGGGGCCCGUCACUCAGAGGAGCUUCCUGAAAAACAUGGGCAUCGACGCCCGACUGCAGGUUCUGCUCAGGAACUGCAGCGACGCGUCCACCAGGAAGCAGCUGAUCAGCAGCUACGACAUGCUGACCAACCCCACCAAGAUGGGCGAGCGCUUCCACUUCUUCAGCCUGCUGCACCACAGCCGGCUGGCCAAACCCGAGAAACCAGAGAGGCUGAAGCUGGAGGUGAAGAAGAGGAGUCCGGCACCGCUGCCUGUGGCCGGAUUCAGCGAGCUCAGCUUCUCCUGAAGGCCUUAAACGCUCCGGAGACUGAACUGUUCCAGAGAGGUUCAGGAGCUCGGAUGGACGUUACAGAAGAACCGUUUUCACCACAUUCAUGCAGGAGGAUGAGGAAAAGAAGAAACCUUCCGUACUGAACCAGUGUUCAUCAUCAAUCAGCGCACGUCGGAUUGUUACCUGCAGCCACGGGUGGCUCAGCGACUUGUCCACGCUGAAGCGCUUCCUCAUCUUCACCUGCAGCAGGUUAUUAAUGAGGUCUGUGGCUGUGAGGGAGAGCAACAACAUUAGCUUCAUUCUUGGAAACGUCCCGCUCAGACUGACGUAGAUGAUGACGCCGACCGACCACAUGUCCAGAGACCGGUUGUAGCCUUUGCUGCGAAGCACCUCGGGCGCCAAAUAGGCCGGAGUGCCGACCACCGAGCGACGGAACGACUUC